RNAcentral lists this ribosomal RNA (253 nucleotides) under uncultured bacterium. RNAcentral's name for it is "partial 16S ribosomal RNA". It matches the Rfam family "Bacterial small subunit ribosomal RNA", at positions 524 to 776 of the family's 1533-position model. The record is from RNAcentral.
UACGUAGGGGGCAAGCGCUGUCCGGAUUUAUUGGGCGUAAAGCGCGUGUAGGCGGCUUGGUAAGUCUGCUCUGAAAGCCCGGGGCUCAACCCCGGGAGGCGGGUGGAUACUGUCAAGCUCGAGUCCGGAGGAGGAGUGUGGAAUUCCUGGUGUAGCGGUGAAAUGCGCAGAUAUCAGGAGGAACACCGGUGGCGAAGGCGGGUCUCUGGGCAGUAACUGACGCUGAGGAGCGAAAGCGUGGGGAGCGAACAGG